Molecule: long non-coding RNA, 365 nt
Organism: Spodoptera frugiperda (fall armyworm)
Lineage: Eukaryota; Metazoa; Arthropoda; Insecta; Lepidoptera; Noctuidae
Exons: 3
Source: RefSeq, a predicted model, not a curated record
AUGUCUUUAUUGUGUGUGUAAUUUUCAGUAACAUUCUUCGUGCUGCCCUUUUCGUGUUUUAUUAACAAAAAAUAAAAUACGAAGAGGUCAGAAGUUGAAUACAGUCAUCAUUCGUCGAUGUCCACCGCACAGUGCAACAUUAAAAUGUAUUUUUGCUGUGUGUUAUCCUAAGAAGUCCUUCACGUUGUAUUUCCAGAAACAUUCUUCGUGCUGCCCUUUUCGUGUUUUAUUAACAAAUAAUAAAAUACGAAGAGAUCAGUAAGUUGAAUACAGUCAUCGUUCGUCGAUAUCGUACAACGCAAUGUCAGCGGCUAUUUUAUAAAUGUUAUUUUCUCAAUUUUCUCGAUCCCUGUGUAUUUUCAGAG